Long non-coding RNA from Epinephelus moara (kelp grouper), 603 nucleotides. RefSeq lists it as uncharacterized. Lineage: Eukaryota; Metazoa; Chordata; Actinopteri; Perciformes; Serranidae. The record is from RefSeq and is a predicted model, not a curated record. The transcript has 5 exons.
CCACUCUCAGGACCGGAAGUUGAUACGAAGCUUUCAAAAAUAAAAGCGAGUAUACCGGAAGCACGUAUUUAUCGUUUCCCCUGUGAAGUGUGGCGAUAACAAGAUGCAUAUUUCGAUCCUAAAAGCCGACACCACGCCCAAAAUUGAACGCUGCAAGACAUGCUGCACACAAUUCCAUUGUCCACUGUGCCUAAAGUUCAAACCUGCCAAAUUGUCCAAGCUGCAGAGCCACUUAGAGGCACAUAAAAAAGGUGGCAUUUUAUUUAAAGAUAAAAUUAUCUGCAGAUGUGGACUGAACUGCAGAGAUCAGGGACACUAUCAUUGCCCUGUGUGCUGUAAAACUGUUUUGAGAAGUUUGCCCAUUGGACAGACAUGUCAAAAGCCCUUCUGGCAGGUGAGGUGCCACCAGUUUUUAGACUGAAGCGAAAAUUGGAUGACAUGACUGAGGCUGAAGAGAGGAAGAAAAGGUGUCACCAAACGGCUGCUCCAGUUGUGCAGGAGGUGGAGACAACUGAAGAAGAGACCAAUACGGUGGGCCGAAUUGUGGAUCACUGCAAAAAAGCAGCGGAAUGGGUGCAGGGUAACCCACAACUGUUUGCAGCC